Molecule: non-coding RNA, 1289 nt
Organism: Ictidomys tridecemlineatus (thirteen-lined ground squirrel)
Lineage: Eukaryota; Metazoa; Chordata; Mammalia; Rodentia; Sciuridae
Source: RefSeq, a predicted model, not a curated record
GCAGCUGAAAAAAAAACAAAGAAGCCCAAGGAGGUCGCUGGGAGUCUGGUAGAGGGACUACCUGUGACUUUGCAGAGUAGCCUCAACCUCUCACACCAUCAGUGUCCCACCACCCAGGAAGACUGCCUGUCCCAGUGGAAUGUUUGCAAGGAUUUGAAAUUUACAAAUUAUGUUUUUUUUUUCACUACUCUGCAAGGAGAAAGGAAGACAUGGAGUACUCAGCAUGCAAAAAAGGCUGAACAAGGGCUUCAUUCCUAGGUCUGCUGCCAACUGUCACUUUUUUUCUCCCUGUUUCUCCAUCUGUCAUCUGACAAUGGGAAGUUAGAUUUCUUGCCAGCUCUGACAUACUUGGCAUAUACCAUCAUUACCUGGAGAUGCACUCCAAACUCCAGCCCCUAUUAACCAGGCUACACUACUGUGAAAAAGGAUGCAGGACAUCUAUAUGUAACACACCAGCACCAAAGUGUGAGCUGGGUGCACGUCAAGAGGGAACUGUGGUACAACAUCUAUAGCCUGCCCCAGGACAGAUGUGAGGUCUCAGAAGCACACCCACAUGUACCCCUAUAAGGAUGGCCUAUGGGUGGCCCCACCCAAGUACCUGCUGGAGGCGGCCCCUGAUGUUGGAGGCACAGAGUUGAAGCAUGUGCAAAUAGGAGACCUCAGUGUCCAGGAGCUCCCUGACAGCCAGUCUCUGAUGGAGCAACUGUCUGUCCUCAGAGCUGCGACCUUCCUCGUCCGGACUCCCUGGCCUGGAGGUGGUCUCAUGAUCACUCAUGUCCUCAGGUUCUGGGAAAAACAAAACCAUCCUGAUUCAUUUCCAGGGAGCACUACUGGGAAAUGCUGUCCCUAAUUUGAAGACAACUAUUCAUCAAGAGAUCUAAAAACAUCUCGUACAACAGAAUCAAGAUGAAGUGUUGAUUAGCCUUUAGGGGCAGUAUCUGGACUAUAUAAAAAGGCAGACAACAGCUCAGAUCAACUGCUGACAUUUUAAAUUCAUUUCCCAGGACUCAGACAAUGUGCUUUCCUGGCUCUUCUAUUUUCGCCCCAGCUCUUGACCCAGAUUUCUUCAUCUGGUUCAGCUCAGUGCUUCUCCUCCUCUCUCUCUCCUGAUGGUUCCCCCCCCCCACCCUGUUAUGCCAUCAGGACAUACAACCUAUCACCUGGACUACUUCCCCAGACUCUAGGAUCAUCCUUCCAAAUCCACACCUCUCUCCUGCUGCCAACCAUAUGCACUCAUUCUGAACAUGUUUCCAGUUUAAACUCCCUGAAACAAAGCUGUGAUCACAGUG